UGAAAAGGAAAUUCACUAUAAAAUAAUUAUUUUUUUGGUUAAAUUGUUUUAAAAUAAAUAAUUAAUAAAUAUUUUAAUGAGAUUUUAGCACAUACUACAAUUUUAGUAUCUUUUUAUGUUUGCUAAUUUUGUCAAUGAUUGACUAAGAGGAGAUUCUAAUCUCUCUCUGUGUUCUUUUUAGCAAAUACUUCUUAGAGGGGUGCGCUGUACCAAAGUUUGAAUAUGGUGCACAUCAGCUGUUCGACUAAAUGUCUGAAGGGGCUUUUAAAAUGUUUUGUUUAUUUUUAAGUCUCUGCUUUUUUUUUGCUUGCAACAAAUAAUACGUUUUUGUGGGUUUGCAGUUUUCAUUGUUUAAGUGCGCUACUAUUUCUGAGGCAUAAUGAAAGUUCGGACGUUUGGGAUAAUUUUGCUGCUAUCUCCUUUAUUAAUCUCUCAUAAAGACACUAGUGGCACGUUUUGAUUUAAAGGUAAGCUUCUGAAGGAUUCUUGGUUUUAUUUGUUGCGUAUUAUAAACAGACAAUGAAUCUCUUUGGAGUUUGAAAGAGUGAAACAUAUAGUUUUUGUAGAGGGGUGGAACUAGUUUUAUACAUUAUGGUUAGUUAAAAGUGUAUGAUUGAAAAAGAGGUUUUGGGGGAGUUGGUGAACGGUAUUGUUGGCUGAGACAAAACGUGUAGUAGGGUGGUCAGGGACACGGCGUUUUGCAGAGUUUGGCGUUUUGAAGAGGGAAAAUGGUUCUCUGGAAAGACGCCAAGGAGUGAAGAUUUAGGGUAAAACCUGAUGGUGUGUGGAUCAUUAAUUAUUUGACUGCUGGGAAAUUUUCACAUUAUGAUAUCUCUAGCUGUUAUGGUAUGAUGAUGCAGGAACCCUUCUUCAUAUAAACUUUGUGCUUGUAACAAGAUAUAAUAUAAAGAGACAGAGUGUCUUUGUUUCUC
This is a long non-coding RNA of Raphanus sativus (radish), 932 nucleotides long. RefSeq lists it as uncharacterized. Lineage: Eukaryota; Viridiplantae; Streptophyta; Magnoliopsida; Brassicales; Brassicaceae. The transcript is spliced from 3 exons. The record is from RefSeq and is a predicted model, not a curated record.